UUAUUUCCCUUUUAGCUUCAGAGUUGAAACUACAGCUUGUUUUCUUAAUUGGUUUGGCAAAAGAAAAAUUGUUAGAAGAAAACAGACAGCUAAUCCAUGGUCAGUUUUACAUUCCACCUUGUGUUCUCCAAAGUAAAAACACAUAGGAUGGCCCUUGAGUAUCUUCAUUCAAAGUGACAAGGUGAGUUCUGACAGUGUCAUGUAAUCCGUUCUUUUCUUUGAAUAAAGUCCUUUUUGCUAUGUAUAUAGACAGGAAGAAACAAACUAAGAAAGCUACAGUCUACAUUAUCUCUGAUCUCGCGUUCAUCUGAAUCAUUGCUGCCUUCUUUGCUACAAGC
This 338-nucleotide long non-coding RNA is filed under the name Rattus norvegicus (Norway rat). RNAcentral's name for it is "long non-coding RNA NONRATT033049". The record is from RNAcentral. Lineage: Eukaryota; Metazoa; Chordata; Mammalia; Rodentia; Muridae.